AGUCGAGCGAGCGGAACCAACAGAUUUACUUCGGUAAUGACGUUGGGAAAGCGAGCGGCGGAUGGGUGAGUAACACGUGGGGAACCUGCCCCUAAGUCUGGGAUACCAUUUGGAAACAGGUGCUAAUACCGGAUAAUAAAGCGGAUCGCAUGAUCAGCUUUUGAAAGGCGGCGUAAGCUGUCGCUAAGGGAUGGCCCCGCGGUGCAUUAGCUAGUUGGUAAGGUAACGGCUUACCAAGGCGACGAUGCAUAGCCGAGUUGAGAGACUGAUCGGCCACAUUGGGACUGAGACACGGCCCAAACUCCUACGGGAGGCAGCAGUAGGGAAUCUUCCACAAUGGACGCAAGUCUGAUGGAGCAACGCCGCGUGAGUGAAGAAGGUUUUCGGAUCGUAAAGCUCUGUUGUUGGUGAAGAAGGAUAGAGGUAGUAACUGGCCUUUAUUUGACGGUAAUCAACCAGAAAGUCACGGCUAACUACGUGCCAGCAGCCGCGGUAAUACGUAGGUGGCAAGCGUUGUCCGGAUUUAUUGGGCGUAAAGCGAGCGCAGGCGGAAAAAUAAGUCUAAUGUGAAAGCCCUCGGCUUAACCGAGGAACUGCAUCGGAAACUGUUUUUCUUGAGUGCAGAAGAGGAGAGUGGAACUCCAUGUGUAGCGGUGGAAUGCGUAGAUAUAUGGAAGAACACCAGUGGCGAAGGCGGCUCUCUGGUCUGCAACUGACGCUGAGGCUCGAAAGCAUGGGUAGCGAACAGGAUUAGAUACCCUGGUAGUCCAUGCCGUAAACGAUGAGUGCUAAGUGUUGGGAGGUUUCCGCCUCUCAGUGCUGCAGCUAACGCAUUAAGCACUCCGCCUGGGGAGUACGACCGCAAGGUUGAAACUC
Molecule: ribosomal RNA, 876 nt
Filed under: uncultured bacterium
Lineage: Bacteria
Description: bacterial SSU rRNA
Rfam family: Bacterial small subunit ribosomal RNA
Source: RNAcentral